RNAcentral lists this ribosomal RNA (1410 nucleotides) under uncultured bacterium. Its description in RNAcentral is "bacterial SSU rRNA". It matches the Rfam family "Bacterial small subunit ribosomal RNA". The record is from RNAcentral.
GAUGAACGCUGGCGGCGUGGAUAAGGCAUGCAAGUCGCGGGAGGCUUCGAGCCUACCGGCGAACGGGUUAGUAACACGUAGAUAACAUACCCCAGAGAUAGGGAUAAUCCGUUGAAAGACGGACUAAUACCUAAUGGUCCCCGCCAAAGGCGGGGUAAAGGUUUCGAGCAAUCGAUUCUGCUCUGGGAGUGAUCUGCGGCCUAUCAGCUAGUUGGUAAGGUAAUGGCUUACCAAGGCAAUGACGGGUAGGGGGUGUGAGAGCACGACCCCCAACAGAGGCACUGAGACACGGGCCUCACUCCUACGGGAGGCAGCAGUCGAGAAUCUUCGGCAAUGGGCGAAAGCCUGACCGAGCGACGCCGCGUGCAGGAAGAAGACCUUCGGGUUGUAAACUGCUUUUAACCGAGAUGAACUGCGUAGGUGACAGUACCGGUUGAAUAAGGGGGUGCUAACUCUGUGCCAGCAGCAGCGGUAAUACAGAGCCCCCAAGCGUUAUCCGGAUUUAUUGGGCGUAAAGGGUCCGUAGACGCCUCGUCAAGUUUUCUAUUAAAUCUUCAGGGCUUAACCUUGAAGCUGUGGAAAAAACUAACGAGGUAGAGGGCGUCAGAGGCCAGUGGAAUGCACGGUGUAGGGGUGAAAUCCGUUGAUAUCGUGUGGAACACCAAAAGCGAAGGCAGCUGGCUGGGGCGACCCUGACGUUGAGGGACGAAAGCGUGGGGAGCAAAAAGGAUUAGAUACCCUUGUAGUCCACGCCCUAAACGAUGGAUGCUAGCUGGUGGGAGUGUCGACCCUUUCACUGGCGAAGCUAACGCGUUAAGCAUCCCGCCUGGGAAGUACGGCCGCAAGGCUGAAACUCAAAGGAAUAGACGGGGGUCUACACAAGCGGUGGACCACGUGGCUUAAUUCGACGACAAGCGAAGAACCUUACCAGGGCUUGACACGUCAAGUGAAAAUCCGCCGAAAGGCGGACUCCGCAAGGCACUUGAUACAGGUGCUGCAUGGUUGUCGUCAGCAGGUGUCGUGAGAUGCUCCCUUAAAUGGGGAAACCUGCGCAACCCUUGUCCUAUGUUUUAUUUGUCAUAGGAAACUGCCUUAUUUUAUAAGGAGGAAGGUGGGGACGACGUCAAAUCAGCAUGGCCCUUAUGUCCUGGGCAGCACACGUGGUACAAUGGCCGGUACAAAGAGUUGCCAAAGCGCAAGCUGGAGCUAAUCUCAUCAAAACCGGUCUCAGUUCGGAUCGAGGUCUGAAACUCGACCUCGUGAAGCUGGAAUCGCUAGUAAUCGCGAAUCAGCUAUGUCGCGAUGAAUACGUCCCUAGACCUUGUACUCACCGCCCGUCACAUUAGAGAAGCCGGUAAUAGCCGAAACCCCAGCUUAGCUGGGUCUAAGCUAAGAUCGGUGACUAGAAUG